AGCGAACGCUGGCGGCAGGCUUAACACAUGCAAGUCGAGCGGGCAUCCUUGUGGUGUCAGCGGCAGACGGGUGAGUAACGCGUGGGAACGUGCCCUUCGGUUUGGAAUAACUCAGGGAAACUUGAGCUAAUACCGGAUACGUUCGCGAGCAGAAAGGUUUAUCUGCCGAAGGAUCGGCGCGCGUCUGAUUAGCUAGUUGGUGAGGUUAUGGCUCACCAAGGCGACGAGCAGUAGCUGGUCUGAGAGGAUGAGCAGCCACACUGGGGCUGCGACACGGCCCCGACUCCUAGGCGAGGCAGCAGUGGGGAAUACUGGACGAUGGGGGCAACCCUGAUCCAGCCGUGCCGCGUGAGUGAUGACGGCCGUAGGGUUGUAAAGCUCUUUUCUACGGGACGAUAAUGACGGUACCGGAGGAAUAAGCCCCGGCUAACUUCGUG
Molecule: ribosomal RNA, 437 nt
Filed under: uncultured bacterium
Lineage: Bacteria
Description: partial 16S ribosomal RNA
Rfam family: Bacterial small subunit ribosomal RNA
Source: RNAcentral